This 250-nucleotide ribosomal RNA is filed under the name uncultured Chroococcidiopsis sp. Its description in RNAcentral is "partial 16S ribosomal RNA". It matches the Rfam family "Bacterial small subunit ribosomal RNA", at positions 796 to 1044 of the family's 1533-position model. The record is from RNAcentral. Lineage: Bacteria; Bacillati; Cyanobacteriota; Cyanophyceae; Chroococcidiopsidales; Chroococcidiopsidaceae.
CUAGCUGUAAACGAUGGAUACUAGGCGUUGAGAGUAUCGACCCUCUCAGUGUUGUAGCUAACGCGUUAAGUAUCCCGCCUGGGGAGUACGCGCGCAAGCGUGAAACUCAAAGGAAUUGACGGGGGCCCGCACAAGCGGUGGAGUAUGUGGUUUAAUUCGAUGCAACGCGAAGAACCUUACCAGGGCUUGACAUGUCCGGAACCCUGCCCAAAGGCGGGGGUGCCUACGGGAACCGGAACACAGGUGGUGC